UUACUUGGAUAACUGUGGUAAUUCUAGAGCUAAUACAUGCCAACAGAAUUCCAACCGGAGACGGAAGGAAUGCUUUUAUUAGAUCAAAACCAAUCGGUGGUGCGGCAACGCGCCAUCGUGCAACUUGGUGAUUCUGAAUAACUUUAUGCUGAUCGCACGGCCUAGCGCCGGCGACGCAUCUUUCAAAUGUCUGCCUUAUCAACUGUCGAUGGUAGGUUCUGCGCCUACCAUGGUUGUAACGGGUAACGGGGAAUCAGGGUUCGAUUCCGGAGAGGGAGCCUGAGAAACGGCUACCACAUCCAAGGAAGGCAGCAGGCGCGCAAAUUACCCACUCCCGGCACGGGGAGGUAGUGACGAAAAAUAACGAUACGGGACUCAUCCGAGGCCCCGUAAUCGGAAUGAGUACACUUUAAAUCCUUUAACGAGGAUCUAUUGAAGGGCAAGUCUGGUGCCAGCAGCCGCGGUAAUUCCAGCUUCAAUAGCGUAUAUUAAAGUUGUUGCGGUUAAAAAGCUCGUAGUCGAACUUGUGCGCCGCGCCGUCGGUUCACCGUCCGCGGUGUCAACUGGCGUGUCGCGGAGCGUCCUGCCGGUGGGCUUAGCUUGCAAAAGCGGCCCAAUCAAUCCCGCCGCGGUGCUCUUCAUUGAGUGUCGAGGAGGGCCGGCACGUUUACUUUGAACAAAUUAGAGUGCUUAAAGCAGGCCAAAAUUUUGCCUGAAUACUGUGUGCAUGGAAUAAUGGAAUAGGACCUCGGUUCUAUUUUGUUGGUUCUCGGAACUCCGAGGUAAUGAUUAAUAGG
Molecule: ribosomal RNA, 797 nt
Filed under: Atomaria sp. g46
Lineage: Eukaryota; Metazoa; Arthropoda; Insecta; Coleoptera; Cryptophagidae
Description: SSU rRNA
Rfam family: Eukaryotic small subunit ribosomal RNA
Source: RNAcentral